AGCAAUCUAUACUGUGAAACUGCGAAUGGCUCUGACCCUGAUGGGCCAUUCCCGACCGAAUGGGCGCCCGCUCGCCCGUAACGUCACUAGAGUGUGGGGAUUGUGUGACGCCUAGCGCCUCGCAAACCCGCAGCCUGCGCUGGCAGGUUCAACGACUAGAUAGUGACGGUCCCUGAAGGGAUCAAGAUAUAGUCUCAGCGCCCGGCGAGAGCCCGGCGACAAGCUGCAUUAAAUCAGUUAUCGUUUAUUUGAUAGUACCUCACUACAUGGAUAACCGUGGUAAUUCUAGAGCUAAUACAUGCUAAAAACCUCGACUUCGGAAGGGGUGUAUUUAUUAGAUUAAAAACCAAUGCCCUUCGGGGCUCACUGGUGAUUCAUAAUAACUUAACGAAUCGCAUGGCCUUGUGCCGGCGAUGGUUCAUUCAAAUUUCUGCCCUAUCAACUUUCGAUGGUAGGAUAGUGGUACGUCCCCUUGCUCUAACCGCUCACAUUCUCUAUGCUAACACUCGUCUUACAGGCCUACCAUGGUUUCAACGGGUAACGGAGGAUUAGGGUUUGAUCCCGGAGAGGGAGCCUGAGAAACGUACGUGUAUCUUCUCGUCCGCACCCGCGACUCUGUACU
This 622-nucleotide ribosomal RNA is filed under the name Sclerotinia sclerotiorum. RNAcentral describes it as "bacterial SSU rRNA". The stretch from base 227 to 565 matches the Rfam family "Eukaryotic small subunit ribosomal RNA", at positions 99 to 386 of the family's 1831-position model. Lineage: Eukaryota; Fungi; Ascomycota; Leotiomycetes; Helotiales; Sclerotiniaceae. The record is from RNAcentral.